This 477-nucleotide ribosomal RNA is filed under the name Occiperipatoides gilesii. RNAcentral's name for it is "partial 16S ribosomal RNA". It matches the Rfam family "Bacterial large subunit ribosomal RNA", at positions 1831 to 2600 of the family's 2925-position model. The record is from RNAcentral. Lineage: Eukaryota; Metazoa; Onychophora; Udeonychophora; Euonychophora; Peripatopsidae.
UGCUUUUUGGAUAUAUAAAAAGUAUUACCUGCCCUAUGAUAAUUUAAAUGGCCGCGGUAUACUGACUGUGCAAAGGUAGCAUAAUCAUUUGUUUUGUAAAUUAAAGCUUGUAUGAAUGGUAUAAUGAAAGUGUAACUGUCUUUUAUUUAUUUAUGGAAUUUGCUUUUUCAGUGCAGAAGCUGAAAGAUUUUAGAAAGACGAGAAGACCCUAAUGAGUUUUAUAUAAAAAUCAUUAUUUAUAUAAUGAUUUAUAUUUUAUUGGGGCAAUAAAAGAAUAAAUUUUCUUUUAGAAAAGUAAAAUGAUAAUUGUUGAACCAUUAUUAAUGAUUAUAAGUUUAAAUUACCAUAGGGAUAACAGCAUAAUCUUUUUUGAGAGUACAUAUCGACAAAAGGGAUUGUGACCUCGAUGUUGAAUUAAGAGAAUUAUAUAAUGAAGAAGUUAUAUGAAUAAGUCUGUUCGACUUUUAAAUUCUUACA